GUUAACUUUUGAACUACUGAUUGUAAAUGCCAAGUUUAACAAGUUGUCCAUAUGGCCUUGCCACUCGUUUCACCAUCAAGCCCUUCAUAUUUCCUCAUAUAAAUAUGCAACUGUUUGAAUUCAUGUUUAUCCAUUUCCUCUAAUAGAAAGCCAUCUACAAACAAAUCUAUGAAUAAAUAUUGCCAGCUCACCUUCACAGAGAAUCUGUAUGGUUGCACCUAGAUUUUUAAAUUUCAUAAUGGGCCAACUGGGAUGUCUUGCAAGAUGAAUCAUAUUUAAUACUAACUCUGACCUCCGUUUCUUGAGAGCUAUCAUGCUACAUCUGAGACUAUAACGUUGCUAUAAUAAGGUCAAUGCUUUUCGUGGCUCUAAUUUUACUUCUUGAUGAAAUCUUCACAUAUACUCAGAGAAUAUAUAUGAUGUGAAAAGAAGUGAGGUCAUUAACAUAUACCUGACACAUGGUGCAUGCAAAAUUUCAAUUUGUUCAGCCA
Molecule: unclassified non-coding RNA, 491 nt
Filed under: Hevea brasiliensis (rubber tree)
Lineage: Eukaryota; Viridiplantae; Streptophyta; Magnoliopsida; Malpighiales; Euphorbiaceae
Source: RNAcentral